This 326-nucleotide ribosomal RNA is filed under the name uncultured eukaryote. Its description in RNAcentral is "partial 18S ribosomal RNA". It matches the Rfam family "Eukaryotic small subunit ribosomal RNA", at positions 1470 to 1796 of the family's 1831-position model. The record is from RNAcentral.
CCCUUAGAUGUUCUGGGCCGCACGCGCGCUACACUGAUGCAUUCAACGAGCCUAUCCUUGACCGACAGGUCCGGGUAAUCUUUGAAUCUGCAUCGUGACGGGGAUAGAUUAUUGCAAUUAUUAAUCUUCAACGAGGAAUGCCUAGUAGGCGCAAGUCAUCAGCUUGCGUCGAUUACGUCCCUGCCCUUUGUACACACCGCCCGUCGCUCCUACCGAUUGAAUGGCUUAGUGAGGCUUCCGGAUUGGUUUAGAGAAGGGGGCAACUCCAUCUUGGAACCGAGAAGCUAGUCAAACUUGGUCAUUUAGAGGAAGUAAAAGUCGUAACA